This 253-nucleotide ribosomal RNA is filed under the name uncultured bacterium. RNAcentral's name for it is "partial 16S ribosomal RNA". It matches the Rfam family "Bacterial small subunit ribosomal RNA", at positions 524 to 776 of the family's 1533-position model. The record is from RNAcentral.
CACGUAGGGCGCAAGCGUUGUCCGGAAUUAUUGGGCGUAAAGAGCUCGUAGGCGGUCUGUUGCGUCCGCUGUGAAAACUCGGGGCUUAACCCCGAGCCUGCAGUGGAUACGGGCAGACUAGAGGUAGGUAGGGGAGAAUGGAAUUCACGGUGUAGCAGUGAAAUGCGUAGAUAUCGUGAGGAACACCAGAGGCGAAGGCGGUUACCUGGACAGUUACUGACGCUCAGGCACGAAAGCAUGGGGAGCAAAAGGG